This 380-nucleotide ribosomal RNA is filed under the name uncultured bacterium. RNAcentral's name for it is "partial 16S ribosomal RNA". It matches the Rfam family "Bacterial small subunit ribosomal RNA", at positions 338 to 710 of the family's 1533-position model. The record is from RNAcentral.
CCUACGGGUGGCAGCAGUGGGGAAUAUUGCGCAAUGCGCGAAAGCCUGACGCAGCGACGCCGCGUGAGGGAUGAAGGUCUUCGGAUCGUAAACCUCUGUCAGCAGGGAAGAAAGGUCACUGUGCUAAUCAGCAGUGAAUUGACGGUACCUGCAAAGGAAGCACCGGCUAACUCCGUGCCAGCAGCCGCGGUAAUACGGAGGGUGCGAGCGUUGAUCGGAAUGACUGGGCGUAAAGCGCUCGUAGGCGGUAUUUCAAGUCAUCGGUGAAAUCCCCGCGCUCAACGUGGGAACUGCCUUUGAAACUGGAAAACUGGAGUGUGAGAGAGGAUAGUGGAAUUCCAGGUGUAGGGGUGAAAUCCGUAGAUAUCUGGAGGAACAUC